This 253-nucleotide ribosomal RNA is filed under the name uncultured bacterium. RNAcentral's name for it is "partial 16S ribosomal RNA". It matches the Rfam family "Bacterial small subunit ribosomal RNA", at positions 524 to 776 of the family's 1533-position model. The record is from RNAcentral.
UACGAAGGGGGCUAGCGUUGCUCGGAAUCACUGGGCGUAAAGGGUGCGUAGGCGGGUAUUUAAGUCAGGGGUGAAAUCCUGGAGCUCAACUCCAGAACUGCCUUUGAUACUGAGUAUCUUGAGUACGGGAGAGGUGAGUGGAACUGCGAGUGUAGAGGUGAAAUUCGUAGAUAUUCGGAAGAACACCAGUGGCGAAGGCGGCUCACUGGCCCGGUACUGACGCUGAGGUGCGAAAGCGUGGGGAGCAAACAGG